GGGGGUGUAGCUCAGUGGUAGAGCGUUCGCCUUGCAUGUGAAAUGCCCUGGGUUGGAUUCCCAGCACCUCCA
This 72-nucleotide transfer RNA is filed under the name Araneus ventricosus. It matches the Rfam family "tRNA". From Rfam's summary of the family: Transfer RNA (tRNA) molecules are approximately 80 nucleotides in length. Their secondary structure includes four short double-helical elements and three loops (D, anti-codon, and T loops). The record is from Rfam by way of RNAcentral. Lineage: Eukaryota; Metazoa; Arthropoda; Arachnida; Araneae; Araneidae.